RNAcentral lists this ribosomal RNA (126 nucleotides) under Flavobacteriales bacterium. Its description in RNAcentral is "partial 23S ribosomal RNA". It matches the Rfam family "Bacterial large subunit ribosomal RNA", at positions 2789 to 2925 of the family's 2925-position model. The record is from RNAcentral. Lineage: Bacteria; Pseudomonadati; Bacteroidota; Flavobacteriia; Flavobacteriales.
GAAACUCGCCACAAGAUGAGAAUUCCCUUGAAGGUCGUUGUAGACGACAACGUUGAUAGGAUGCAGAUGUAAAGGUGGUAACACCAAAGUCGAGCAUUACUAAUUACCUGAACGGCUUUCUUAUCG